RNAcentral lists this ribosomal RNA (583 nucleotides) under Staphylococcus pseudintermedius. RNAcentral describes it as "bacterial SSU rRNA". It matches the Rfam family "Bacterial small subunit ribosomal RNA", at positions 16 to 581 of the family's 1533-position model. The record is from RNAcentral. Lineage: Bacteria; Bacillati; Bacillota; Bacilli; Caryophanales; Staphylococcaceae.
AUCCUGGCUCAGGAUGAACGCUGGCGGCGUGCCUAAUACAUGCAAGUCGAGCGAACAGAUAAGGAGCUUGCUCCUUUGACGUUAGCGGCGGACGGGUGAGUAACACGUGGGUAACCUACCUAUAAGACUGGAAUAACUCCGGGAAACCGGGGCUAAUGCCGGAUAACAUGUUGAACCGCAUGGUUCUACAGUGAAAGACGGUCUUGCUGUCACUUAUAGAUGGACCCGCGCCGUAUUAGCUAGUUGGUGGGGUAACGGCCUACCAAGGCGACGAUACGUAGCCGACCUGAGAGGGUGAUCGGCCACACUGGAACUGAGACACGGUCCAGACUCCUACGGGAGGCAGCAGUAGGGAAUCUUCCGCAAUGGGCGAAAGCCUGACGGAGCAACGCCGCGUGAGUGAUGAAGGUCUUCGGAUCGUAAAGCUCUGUUGUUAGGGAAGAACAAAUGUGUAAGUAACUGUGCACAUCUUGACGGUACCUAACCAGAAAGCCACGGCUAACUACGUGCCAGCAGCCGCGGUAAUACGUAGGUGGCAAGCGUUAUCCGGAAUUAUUGGGCGUAAAGCGCGCGUAGGCGGUUU